RNAcentral lists this transfer RNA (67 nucleotides) under Ips acuminatus. RNAcentral's name for it is "tRNA-Leu". The record is from RNAcentral. Lineage: Eukaryota; Metazoa; Arthropoda; Insecta; Coleoptera; Curculionidae.
UCUAUUAUGGCAGAUAAGUGCAAUGGAUUUAAGCUCCAUACAUAAAGAAAAUUUUCUUUUUUUAGAA